AUUGAACGCUGGCGGCAGGCCUAACACAUGCAAGUCGAGCGGAUGAAGGGAGCUUGCUCCUGGAUUCAGCGGCGGACGGGUGAGUAAUGCCUAGGAAUCUGCCUAGUAGUGGGGGAUAACGUCCGGAAACGGGCGCUAAUACCGCAUACGUCCUGAGGGAGAAAGUGGGGGAUCUUCGGACCUCACGCUAUCAGAUGAGCCUAGGUCGGAUUAGCUAGUUGGUGGGGUAAAGGCCUACCAAGGCGACGAUCCGUAACUGGUCUGAGAGGAUGAUCAGUCACACUGGAACUGAGACACGGUCCAGACUCCUACGGGAGGCAGCAGUGGGGAAUAUUGGACAAUGGGCGAAAGCCUGAUCCAGACAUGCCGCGUGUGUGAAGAAGGUCUUCGGAUUGUAAAGCACUUUAAGUUGGGAGGAAGGGCAGUAAGUUAAUACCUUGCUGUUUUGACGUUACCAACAGAAUAAGCACCGGCUAACUUCGUG
RNAcentral lists this ribosomal RNA (484 nucleotides) under uncultured bacterium. Its description in RNAcentral is "partial 16S ribosomal RNA". It matches the Rfam family "Bacterial small subunit ribosomal RNA", at positions 30 to 507 of the family's 1533-position model. The record is from RNAcentral.